Molecule: long non-coding RNA, 1001 nt
Organism: Lolium rigidum
Lineage: Eukaryota; Viridiplantae; Streptophyta; Magnoliopsida; Poales; Poaceae
Exons: 3
Source: RefSeq, a predicted model, not a curated record
UCAGAAUAAAUAAAUUUUCAUUGCAUUCUUCACACAGGUUGAAUAUAACUGCCUAUGUUUCAAUGCGCUGAAAGGUUUACUAGGUUCGUAUAUGUAAGUCAUUCUCGUCCUUUUUACCAAGUUACAGACGACAAAAAUCCUUUACCUCAGAGGACAAUAGAAGACCCAGCUUUCACACCUCACCAUACCAUAUGUCUUCUCUUUACAUUGCUGUCUUUUUGCCUCUUUAUUUCUUCUCCCCCAGUUUUCUACCAGGAAGUAGAAUCCAUUUUCAUGUUUUUUUUACAUUCAUGGUCUCAAGAUCUAGCUGCUGAUGGUUGGGAAGCAACGCAGAGGCUGCAUGAUGUUGCAAUGAUGCAUAACAAAGGUAACUCAUCUCUCUGACACUGAAUUCAUUAGGAAUUGUGCGGUCACUGCUAGAUGUUAGGAAGUACCUUGUAGGUUGCACAUUGUAUGCUCCUUGAUAACUACAUGGCUAAGUGAAGAAGGUAAAUUUUCUCUCAGACAUUAAGUUUAUUUUAGAAUAUUAAUGUAACUUCACUUUGAUGUACUCCCUAUGUUCCUAACGAUAAGAUAUUUUGGUAAGCUGAAUUGACUUGCCAAAACAUCUUAUAUUUUGUGAACGGACAGAGUAGUUAUUUUUUUGAUGAUCCAAAUUUAUGGCUAAAUUCUUUUGGUGACAUUGUAGGAUAAUUAACUGAACAUCCAUGUGUUCUUCGGAUACCUGAUCUGCAAAGUUCCAGUUUGUGCCAAAGAAAUUUCAUGAAAUACAAAUGUGUAUUUGGCUGUGUACCAAGAAUCUGGAACUUUAGGCUGAACCGGUCAGGUGUUUAUCAACCAUCUCAUAUAGAAAAUGGAUGAUAUCUUUGGUUUUAGUUUGUGGGAUAUAUAGUUUUUUAUCUCUGCAUUUUUGCUUCUGACUUGCAACUGGAGAUUGCUAAAACAAUAUGAAUGGUUAUCUUUUGCAACCUGAAUUAGUUUUUAAGAUGAGCAUAACUUGA